Molecule: long non-coding RNA, 284 nt
Filed under: Capsicum annuum
Lineage: Eukaryota; Viridiplantae; Streptophyta; Magnoliopsida; Solanales; Solanaceae
Description: long non-coding RNA (CANN_LNC022531)
Source: RNAcentral
CCAACGUAGGCAAGACGUUGGAGUCCAUAUAGCUCACAUGGUUUAUGUCGAUUAGAAGAAACUCCCAAAGCAGUCCCCUACUCUAAUUAAGAUAAAAGUAUAUAUAUGUUGAAAGUUUGAUUUUGAGAUUUCCAAAGUCCCCCAAGUCCAAGUUCUCUAAGUCCCAAAAGUACUAUCCUCCUUAAGAUAAAAAUAUGUGUUUUGAAAGUUAUUGUUUAAAGUUUUCUUUAGCCUACAAUUUUUGAUAAUAAGAGGAGUAUAUAAAUUUUAGAAUAAAGUGUAAU